This 220-nucleotide ribosomal RNA is filed under the name uncultured bacterium. Its description in RNAcentral is "partial 16S ribosomal RNA". It matches the Rfam family "Bacterial small subunit ribosomal RNA", at positions 28 to 258 of the family's 1533-position model. The record is from RNAcentral.
GACGAACGCUGGCGGCGUGCUUAACACAUGCAAGUCACGGGGGUCCCGCAAGGGAUAACCGGCGAACGGGUGCGUAACACGUGACCAACCUGCCCUCGUGUGGGGGAUAGCCGGGCUAACGCCCGGGUAAUACCGCAUACGGUCCUUGAGAGGAGUCUCUUGGGGAAGAAAGCUCCGGCGCACGGGGAGGGGUCGCGGCCUAUCAGCUAGGUUGGGGGGU